RNAcentral lists this ribosomal RNA (253 nucleotides) under uncultured bacterium. RNAcentral's name for it is "partial 16S ribosomal RNA". It matches the Rfam family "Bacterial small subunit ribosomal RNA", at positions 524 to 776 of the family's 1533-position model. The record is from RNAcentral.
UACGUAGGGCGCAAGCGUUGUCCGGAAUUAUUGGGCGUAAAGAGCUCGUAGGCGGUCUGUCGCGCCCGUUGUGAAAACUCGGGGCUCAACUCCGAGCUUGCAGUCGAUACGGGCAGGCUAGAGUUCGGCAGGGGAGACUGGAAUUCCUGGUGUAGCGGUGGAAUGCGCAGAUAUCAGGAGGAACACCGGUGGCGAAGGCGGGUCUCUGGGCCGUAACUGACGCUGAGGAGCGAAAGCAUGGGGAGCGAACCGG